UGGAACGAGUGGCGGACGGGUGAGUAACACGUGGGUAACCUGCCCUUAAGUGGGGGAUAACAUUUGGAAACAGAUGCUAAUACCGCAUAGAUCCAAGAACCGCAUGGUUCUUGGCUGAAAGAUGGCGUAAGCUAUCGCUUUUGGAUGGACCCGCGGCGUAUUAGCUAGUUGGUGAGGUAAUGGCUCACCAAGGCGAUGAUACGUAGCCGAACUGAGAGGUUGAUCGGCCACAUUGGGACUGAGACACGGCCCAAACUCCUACGGGAGGCAGCAGUAGGGAAUCUUCCACAAUGGACGCAAGUCUGAUGGAGCAACGCCGCGUGAGUGAAGAAGGCUUUCGGGUCGUAAAACUCUGUUGUUGGAGAAGAAUGGUCGGCAGAGUAACUGUUGUCGGCGUGACGGUAUCCAACCAGAAAGCCACGGCUAACUACGUGCCAGCAGCCGCGGUAAUACGUAGGUGGCAAGCGUUAUCCGGAUUUAUUGGGCGUAAAGCGAGCGCA
RNAcentral lists this ribosomal RNA (500 nucleotides) under Lacticaseibacillus paracasei. Its description in RNAcentral is "bacterial SSU rRNA". It matches the Rfam family "Bacterial small subunit ribosomal RNA", at positions 87 to 573 of the family's 1533-position model. The record is from RNAcentral. Lineage: Bacteria; Bacillati; Bacillota; Bacilli; Lactobacillales; Lactobacillaceae.